GAUGAACGCUGGCGGCGUGCCUAAUACAUGCAAGUCGAGCGAACAGACGAGGCGCUUGCUCCUCUCACGUUAGCGGAGCACGGGUGAGUAACACGUGUAUAACCUACCUAUAAGAGUGGUAUAACUUCGGGAAACCGGAGCUAAUACCGGAUAAGAUACUGAAGCGCAUGGUUGAAUAGUGAAAGACGGUUGUGCUGGCUCUACUAGAUGGAUCCGGGCCGCAUUAGCUAGUUGGUAAGGUAACGGCUUACCAAGGCAACGAUGCGUAGCCGAAGUGAGAGAGUGAUCGGCCACACUGGAGCUGAGACAGGGACCAGAGUCCUACGGGAGGCAGCAGUAGGGUACCUGCCGCAGUGGUCGGAAGCCUGGCGGAGUAGCGCCGAGUGUGUGAUGGAGGUCUUCGGAUCGUAAAGAUGUGUUACUAGGGGAGAACAAAUGUGUAAGUAACUGUGCACGGCUUGACGGUACCGGGUCAGAAAGCCACGGCUAACUACGUG
This 497-nucleotide ribosomal RNA is filed under the name uncultured bacterium. RNAcentral's name for it is "partial 16S ribosomal RNA". It matches the Rfam family "Bacterial small subunit ribosomal RNA", at positions 28 to 507 of the family's 1533-position model. The record is from RNAcentral.